Molecule: ribosomal RNA, 3957 nt
Filed under: Stemonitis fusca
Lineage: Eukaryota; Evosea; Eumycetozoa; Stemonitida; Stemonitidae
Description: small subunit ribosomal RNA
Rfam family: Eukaryotic small subunit ribosomal RNA (bases 4-3275)
Source: RNAcentral
UUGAUCCUGCCAGUAGUGUAUGCUUCUCCUAAGGACUAAGCCAUGCAUGCCUAGAAUAGAGGGGGUGAUCUCUCGAAUCUGCGAACGGCUCCGCAAACCGGUUGUAAUUCAUUGUACGUCUAGCCCGGCGUCGGGCUCCUGCCCUCCGGGGUAGGGGCUGGAUCCGGGCACCGCUUAUAUGGAUAUCCCUGGUAAUUCUGGGGCUAAUACAUGGCAUAAACACUGAACUGGCCCGGUCCCGGGGGCGUAGGCUUCGGCCGAAACCAUCAACCCGGGGUAUCCCGGGCCAGGGACGUGCGAGUCUUCCAACCAAGUUCGGCUUGGGGUCUCUUCUAACCUUCGGGACGGAACGCACGUCUGAACCUGCUCCCGUCUCGUGCGGGACCGGUUCCGGGCACCGAGCUUUCUUCUGGUUGCGGGUUCAGGUUAACCCCUGGGUUCGCCUCUGGGGAUUGCGGAGUCCUUGUACCGGGCAGGUGGGUACUGCGGCUUCCGACCUAUCAACUAGAAUGCGGUAAAAUGGGCUGCAAUGGUCACAACGGGUACAGAGGAUUAGGGUUCGAUCCUGGAGAGUGGGCCUGAGAGAUCGCUCCUACUUCUAAGGAAGGCAGCAGGCGCGCAAAGUUCCCCUUGGGCUAUUGCCUGAGGGCGCUAGGGGACAUAUGAAUGGCUAUCAAUUUUGGUGGCCAAUUCAAAUGGGUCUGUUGUAAAUAGGCUCUCGAGUAACAAUUGGAGGACAAGUCUGGUGGACAAGGGAACCCUCAAAAGUUCUCCCCAACGCCAGAUGUCGGCUACCCCGGGGUCACCCUUGACCACGGGGAGGUUUCGGCAGAAAGCCGGGAUAAGCUCCGGCUGUACAACUGUAAAUUGCAGGGAACACCAGGUAUGGGUGGGGUACCACAGCCCAGGGAAACAAUAACCGGGGUCCUGUCCGCGAGGGCAGGGGUAACAAUCCUCAUUCCAGGGGCCUUCGUCCGGGCCAGCCGCCCUUUAACCGGGGUGGCACCAUCCUGGUCAAUCUGCAGCCAAGCCGCUAAGCCCCCUCGCGGGGGAAUGCGGAAGGUUCAGAGACUAUAAUCAGUUGGGCGCAAGCUUAAGGAAUAGUCCACUCCCCCCAGCAAUGGGGCCGGCAGAAGUAUCGGGUGGUAGCUCACCCGAGAGGCAUGCCGGGUCCUUCGAAGCGCGGGCGCAUUAAAAAUACCCGUGCGAGGUACAGGAUGGUAGACAGGGCCAGCACCCGCGGUAAUUCCAGCUCCAAUAGCAUACGUUAAAGUUGUUGCGGUUAAAACGCUCGUAGUCGCGGUUGGGCCAACAGAAGGCUCGGGCUGCUUAAGCCGGGUAAAACGUGCGUCCUCGCAAGGGGGCGUAUGCCGGCGAUACGUAGCUCGGGCUUGACGUUGGAUCCGACCAAAGUGCCCCUUGACGUUCGGCUUGCCGAUUACAGGCCCUCACGGGCUGGUCGGGGGGUGCCCUAUUGCCGUGAUUAAACUGGGGUGAUCAAGGCAGGGCACACGCGCUCCUUGAACAGCACAGCAUGGCAUGAGGACAGCCGGGCAGCCCGUUCCCAGACCCCUAAACAAAGCCGGGGGACGGAUGUUCCGGUGCACUUAAAGGGUUGUUUCAGGGUAGCCGAAUUGCCGGGCGAGUGGUGAAAUACGUUGACCCUGGCAAGUCGACCAAAGGCGAAAGCAGCUACCCGGGGCCUUCCCCUUGAUCAAGAGCGAAAGUUAAGGGCUCGAAGACGAUCAGAUACCGUCGUAGUCUUAACUAUAAAUGCUACUGACCAGGUAUAGGGCGUUGUCCAUACCGACUCUCUCCGGACCUUAGGGAAACCAAAGUCUUUGAGUUCCGGGGGGAGUAUGGUCGCAAGUCUGAAACUUAAAGGAAUUGACGGAAGGGCACACAAAGAGUGGAACCUGCGGCUUAAUGGCUAGGUCGCAAUAGUCGUCCCGACCAAACAUUUGGUCGGGUAUUACGGCUAGUCGAUCCCCCCAGCAAAGGGUUGAGUGGGGGGCGGCAAGACAACCUGGUACGGGGGAGGCCCUCUGUGAGGGUUAAUCCCGUGGCGAGUCUGCCGGGAGUAAUCUCGGAUAGACCGUCGUAACGCACGGUAAGGUGUCGGGGGUCCUCCUCGCGAGGAUCCCUUAAGGGACGUGCUACUCCCCCCGCAAGGGUGCUCGGUACUUUAGGUCUCAACCACCGAAGGUAUCGGGAGCCGACUAACUGCAGCCUAAAUAACUGCAGGGUGGCUGGUAUCAAGGUAAUUUGACUCAACACGGGCCAACUCACCGGGGCAAGAUACAAUGAUGAAGGACAGGCAGAAAGACCUUUCUUGAUGAUGUAAGUGGUGGUGCAUGGCCGUUAACUAGUAGCGGCAGUAUCCGUUAAAAGCGGGUGCUAGUCGGGGCGGUUCCGCUUUCGUGAGGAUCCGUUUCCGGCGACACUGUCAAAUUGCGGGGAAAUCCAGAGUGGGCCACGGUACCGCCUCGGCAUCGAAAGAUCCGGCCGACGGCACCUCAGGAAACUUGAGGGUACGGUAAGAAUCCGUGGCCUGGGACUAUCCGCAGCCAAGCCCUAAAGCGCGCGCCCUUUCCGGAGGGGGUGGGCCACGGGUGCAGUUCAACGACUAAAUGGCAGUGGGCUUUCUCCGGAUGUCUGUAUCCGGGCAAGUAAGGCUUAAGAUAUAGUCUUGCCCCACCGGAAGGUGGCCCUGGGAUGAAGGGGACCAACGAUCCCCCCGAGCCCAGGGAGAACACUCGCACCCGCUCGUCCGGGUGAGGGUGUUCGGGAACAACAGUCUUAGUUCGUGGAGUGAUCUGUCUGGUCUAUUCCGAUAACGAGCGAGACCCUAAUCCCUAACUAGGGGCGGCAGCCAGGCUCUUGUCUUCUACCCCGUUGAUGGCCGGUUCGCCGGUCGGAGGCGGGGGCGGGGCAUCUGUACCCAGCUGUCGCCUAUGAGCGCGAGCUCCUUCUUAGGGAGACCGGGGCCGAAAAGGUCUCUGAAUGGGGUAAUAACAGGUCAGUGAUGCCCUUAGAUGUUCCGGGCCGCACGCGGGUUACAAUGGGCAAGCAAAACGGGCGUACCUCCCGCAAACACGUCCUUCGGGAUGUGGGGGGGUAGUCCUUACGCCUAACGGUGAUAGUAAUCCUUAGGGCUUGCCCCGCCUGGGCUAGUCUUUUGGAACUAUUGGUCUUAAACUCGGAAUUUUUAGUAGUCGCGGGUCAUUAACCCGCGACGAAUUAGUCCCUGCCCUUGUAUGUACUAGGGGUAAAAGGGGGCCGAAAGGUUCCCUAGUCCGGGUUACGCACGCGAGUGCGUAGCCUCGCGCCCGAAUCGACGGGUCGAAUCCCUUUUCAUCCGUGAAAAAGGGAGGGGCAACACUGUCAAAUUGUUCGGGAAGUCCCUAAAACCGUAUCCCCCAAAUGCGCGGUGAAAGCCGGAAAAAUCAGGAGCCGCGACCCCCUCACGGGGAUAGCUGCCUGCGCAUGGCCAGGUUAAUUGCCUCGGGUAUGGGAAAAGUGAUACGGAUGUGUGGUGAUUCAGUCCUCGGAUUGCUUCCUUUGCCACCCAGAGCACAGCUCUGCGAAUGGGUAACCCGCAGCCAAGCCCGUAGUGCGACUAUGCCGCAGCCCGGUUAGGGGUGCGAGAAGUUAGCGUAACCGGGUGCAGUUCACAGACUAAAUGUCAGUGGGUCGUGCGAGGAUGCGUCCUCUCACGGCUUAAGAUAUAGCCGGUCCUCCCGGGAUAACUGGGCCCUUUCCAUAAGGUGCGGAGCACCGAAAGUAAGGGGGCGGAUUAAUGCCCACGCACUGUGGUUGAUCUGCUUGGAUUAAACGUUGUACACACCGCCCGUCGCUGCUACCGAUUGGGUAUGGCAGUUACGCGUUCGGAGGCUGGGGAGUCCGGGGCCCGCUGCUCACGUGGCGGCCUCUUCUCCGGCUGAAGUCCUAUUACUG